Clupea harengus (Atlantic herring) is the source of this 2156-nucleotide long non-coding RNA. NCBI's taxonomy places the organism in Eukaryota, Metazoa, Chordata, Actinopteri, Clupeiformes, Clupeidae. The record is from Ensembl.
UGAGCACCGCUGAAGGGGUAUAUCUGCACAGUAGAUUCAUGUGAUCAUCAAUUAGUCAUUUUCAAUUGAAAAACAUUUGCUAAAUGAAUUACUGCACAUACCCAAGAAUAAUUAAGAGCAAAGACACAAUAAUCCACAAUCUGUCUCAUUAGUACUUUAAUUUCAAAAAAAGAAAAUCUACAACAGAAACCAUUAGUCAUCUUACACAAAACAGAAAAUCACAUUUUAUACAGUUUUAUAAACUUCCAGUUUCAAUUGAAUUACAUAUUCCAUCUCUUCUGUAACGAGAGCUUCAUACCUUAUAAACCGAUUCGCUCGGGAUGCGGAUAAAUCCUUUUUUUUUUUUUUUAAACACAGCGUUCCUGCUUAGGUGGGAGCAGCUUCGUAAUGGAAAUCGGAAAAUUAAAUAGUAUGUUUUGAUGGUGUGUUUCGACAUAUCUCCCAUUCCAUGGGAAUACGCCAACAUGUCUCUCCAUAUAUCAGCGGUGUCUGCAUGCGGCCCGUGUGGAUCCCAUGGUCAAUAAGUCUCUCUCUCACUCACACACACACACACACACACACACACACACACACACACACACACACACACACACACACACACACACACACACACACACACACACACACACACACACACACACACACCCAUGCCUCUGUAUAUAUUAGAGGUGAGUGCAUGCCGCCCAUGUGGAUCAGAUGGACAAUAACUCUCAAGUAGAAAGAACACCACUCAUACUCAGGUGCAUAAAAGUCAUUCAAGGGGCACUCACACACACACACACACACGCACACACACACACACGCACACACACACACACACACACACACACACACUCCGCUGAGAGCUCACCACAAUUUCAGGCCACUGAAUAACUGUGUUACACUGCCCCCUAGAGGCAACAUGUAGCUAAGGCAACAAAUCUCCCAAAACCCAUUCCAGCUGAACCGUACACAAGAGAAAACAGUAGAAUCAGGGUAUAUAUUAAAAAUAAAAAUAAACAAUAGUCUUUUUAAAAGUCAUUAAGUGCAAAUUAAUUAGUGAAAUUAUUCUCUAAACACUGUGAAUCAGCCGCUUGGCACUACAAGCGACCCACAACACUGGCAAAGUGUAAUCCCACAGUGCAAUUCAUCUCCUUUCUAUGAAGCACUACAUCACCAUUCUAUAAAUGUAAAGCUCUAUACUCUAUCUAUGGUGUCUGUUGUCUGGGUGGUCUGACUUCCUGUAAAUGUUAAGCUCUAUACUCUAUGGUGUCUGGGUGGUCUGACUUCCUGUAAAUGUUAAGCUCUAUACUCUAUGGUGUCUGGGUGGUCUGGCAUUGAUGUGAUUAGCAUGGACAUGUUACAGAACAGAUCUGAAGUAUGCAGUAUAUGACUGCACAUGAGGCUUGUGUGUAAGCAUUUCUCUGUGUGUGUGAGUGUUUGUGUGUGUGUGUGUGUGUGUGAAUGUGCAAAUGAGAGACUGUGAGUGUGUGUGUGUGUGUGUGUGUGUGUAGGACAGAGAAAUGGACUGCUGGGAAAAGCUGGCAGCAUUUUGAAAUGGGUAGAAUGAUAGAAUAAUGUCAUGGGAAAUGUGUUUGUGUGUAUGAGUUAGGCUUAACCAUUCAUUCUUUGCACUAUGCACUUUGAGAAGUAUGUACCUCAACUUCAUGAUAUCAUUUGGCAUUGUACACAAGCAAACACUUUAUGUGUGUAUAUGUGUGUGUGUGCAUAUGUGUGUGCGUGUGCAAGUGUGCGUGUGUGUUUAUCAGAAAGUGAAAAUAGAGCACCACUCUAAAAGACAUUCAUCAGAUCACAUUGCCCUUCACGGUUUAAACAAUCACAAACAAACUACGAUUCCCAUCAUGCAGCAUUCCUGCCAUUUUCCCAUCAGUAUCCCAGACUCCACAUCAGCCUAUGUGUCUCAAAGUGCACACAAUACGUGGCAUUAUAAAACUGACCAUUCAUAGACAUGCAUAGACUUCAGGAAGUAAGGCAGUCAUUCUCAGGUAGGUAUGCUACCCCCUUUAGUACUAUAUACCUGUAGUACACUGAGCGAGGAUACUAGCUAAGUGAUGAUACCACGUAGUGUCCUUAAAAUAAGGAGACAGCAGCUGAACACUGGAACAUUCCUCCCUGAGGGAGAUGCUGGAUAACACUGUUGGCCACCCCCCCUCUCU